Molecule: ribosomal RNA, 663 nt
Filed under: uncultured Bacteroidota bacterium
Lineage: Bacteria; Pseudomonadati; Bacteroidota
Description: bacterial SSU rRNA
Rfam family: Bacterial small subunit ribosomal RNA
Source: RNAcentral
GACGACCGGCGCACGGGUGCGUAACGCGUAUACAACCUACCUUUUAGCGGGGAAUAGCCCAGGGAAACUUGGAUUAAUGCCCCAUAGUAUAUAGACUUCUCCUGAAGUUUAUAUUAAACAUUUAUGGCUAUUAGAUGGGUAUGCGUCCUAUUAGUUAGUUGGUAAGGUAACGGCUUACCAAGGCAGCGAUAGGUAGGGGUCCUGAGAGGGAGAUCCCCCACACUGGUACUGAGACACGGACCAGACUCCUACGGGAGGCAGCAGUGAGGAAUAUUGGACAAUGGGCGAGAGCCGGAUCCAGCCAUGCCGCGUGCAGGAAGACUGCCCUAUGGGUUGUAAACUGCUUUUACAGAGGAAGAACCACCCCCACGUGUGGGGGUUUGACGGUACUCUGCGAAUAAGGAUCGGCUAACUCCGUGCCAGCAGCCGCGGUAAUACGGAGGAUCCAAGCGUUAUCCGGAAUCAUUGGGUUUAAAGGGUCCGUAGGCGGGCAGUUAAGUCAGUGGUGAAAGUCUUCCGCUCAACGGGAGAACUGCCAUUGAUACUGAUUGUCUUGAGUUAUUAUGAAGUGGUUAGAAUGAGUAGUGUAGCGGUGAAAUGCAUAGAUAUUACUCAGAAUACCGAUUGCGAAGGCAGAUCACUAAUAAUAUACUGACGCUGAUG